AAUAACCAUAUAUCUGAGGGCUUCCUUUUAUUAUUUCAUUAAUACAUAACAGCAUACCAGCAAACUGAUGCCCCAAAAUACACUUUGACAUAACAAAAGCUUUUCUCAUUUUUCCAUUACAGCAUCAGAGUAUUGUUGGGUGGUAUGCUGUAAUUAUAUCAGUCCAGAGCCUCAAAACUGAACCAGAAAAAGCAUACAGGAAAGUCUGUGAAUCUAGCCUCAUGGCCUGAGAUAUAUGCCACACGUGCCCUAUCCCUAGAAAGGAGCUUCCUGGACUCCACUCAGAAUCCAUCUAAUGUGAGCUUGCAUUCUUACCACCAUUCCUUUCCACAGACACAUUGAUUUCAACAGGACCUACAGUAUGCACGACUCUGCAACCACUGCUGUUUAGCUGGCAAUGAAUGUUUUCCUUUGUGGGAAGGUAAAGUGAAAUUCUUUUCAGCCAGCAGCACCAGGGAUAUUAUGUUAUUCCACACAUUCAACUGCAUGUUCCCUGGGGGAAGUAGGUUGGUUGUGCAAGACCUCAAAACCAACUAUAACUGUGCAACCUGAAUUUGCCAGUAUGUGACUCAAUCCCAUCUGACAAUCAGACAGCGUGGAAGCACCCUGGGUCAAGGAAAGAAACCACAACGAUGCUUCCAGUGUAUCCUAGCCACUAGUUCAAGCUCAAAUUCUUUGGAAGAGAGGCAAUUCCAUGAGGAAUUCACA
Molecule: long non-coding RNA, 708 nt
Organism: Lacerta agilis (Sand lizard)
Lineage: Eukaryota; Metazoa; Chordata; Lepidosauria; Squamata; Lacertidae
Exons: 3
Source: RefSeq, a predicted model, not a curated record